RNAcentral lists this long non-coding RNA (1390 nucleotides) under Strigops habroptila (Kakapo). Its description in RNAcentral is "lncRNA (ENSSHBG00005003166.1)". The record is from RNAcentral. Lineage: Eukaryota; Metazoa; Chordata; Aves; Psittaciformes; Psittacidae.
AGGAAAAAGAACAAUUUAUUUGAAUUGUAUUAAAAAUGAGUAUGAGUAUCUCACUUCUGCAUUUAAGAAAGCAGGUGAAAAUGGGCUUGCAUUUCCUAUUUCCCAUUGUUAUCUAAGAUGCUCAAGUGUUUCUUUUAAACUUGACCAAGACUCCAUAACCUAUUAAAAUAGAUUAUAAUUCAGAGUAGGUUUUAAUGCAAGCAUGUUAUCUGAAAGUGUGUGUGUGUGUUUGUGAAGGUGCCCUCUUGUUUUUCAUAGUAAGAUAAAUUUUACUUUCAAAAUAAGGUUAUGUGAAAUGAGACUUUCUGUUGCUUGUUGAUAGUUCUGCUGUAUAAUAAAAUAGCUGUUAGCACUGAAAAUAAAGGUUGGUAAAAUGAAAGUUGGCUUGAAAUUAAAAAAAAUCCGCUUCCUAAUUUCAUGUAGUGAUCAGCAAUGCUGGCAGAGCAGGUGAGAGAGAGGAGGAGAAAAAAAAAAAAGUGUUGACUCUGGAAUCCAGGCUGAAUUUUACUUAGUUUUUUUCACUUGAAGAGAAAGUUUGGUGUUGAAAAAUACCAUUUCUGGUAGAAAAAUUAGUAGUGUUAAUCAGAAGACUGUUGUUGUUCUUCAUAAGCUUUAUUACUCAAACCAAUUGUAUCAAAAUGCGGAACAUAAUUUGUCCAUUUUUACUUUAAUAGCAAUAUUCUGACUAUAGCAAAUGGGCAGGUUUUAGCAUUGGAAUUUGUUGCUGUCUGGAUAAAUGCUGAAAUUGAACUAACAUGCACAAUAGCUUUGAAACUUCUUAGUUGCAUGCUGUACUUCAGUGUUAUGUAUUUUAAGAAAAUGUUAGCAGAUAUUUUCAUUUAAAGGUUUGCACUUCUAAAAAUGAACUUGGUUGAAACAGUACAGUAAUUGUGGUUCUAGAAUUUAGAUGGAAAAUUGUUUCCUGUUCGUAAGAGCUUUGUUAUACUACCUUGUAAAAACUGUGGGGUAGGGUAGGGGAAAAUGAUCCCCAAAGCUUUUCUGUCUCAUGCAGUCUGAGGAGCAGCAGGAAAAUGCAAACUAAAUGGAGUUAGACAUGAUUGCACUUCAAUUAAUCCAACUGCUAAUCAAUUAAGUCAUUUGACAUAUAAAGUGCAUGUUGAGUGGAAGAGGAGGAGGUGAGGUAGAGAGGAGACAGAUGGACUCUUGCAUAGCAUAGCAGAGGAGAGGAGAGUUGCCGGCCUCUGUAACCAGGAGGGAUCAGCAGGAGUACUGAACUUAGCAAGAAGAAACUUAAUUGGCCUAAGUUCUUAACUCUUAAAUUGUGUAACGCUUUUCUUUAUUUAAAAGAUGAUUACUGUAUAUUUAUAUACGUUAAUAGUUUAAGCUUGCUUUGGGAAAAAAAUUUAAACUUAGAACAAUAAAACCAAAA